Molecule: unclassified non-coding RNA, 718 nt
Filed under: Hevea brasiliensis (rubber tree)
Lineage: Eukaryota; Viridiplantae; Streptophyta; Magnoliopsida; Malpighiales; Euphorbiaceae
Source: RNAcentral
UAGCCACUAAACGAUGUUCUAUUUACAGCUUGUUUCAUUAGCUUCCUCUUUUAGUUGUUGACGCAGAACUAAUUCAUCUAAAGCUUCUCUCAUCCACCAAUUAUGGCAUACUUCUCUGGCCUCCUUCACAGUCACCCAUUUUCGUUUUCUGAUACUCUUUUCUGGCCAUAGAUCUAAUUCCUUAUGAACAAGCAAAGGAAACAUAUAGACCUCAUGCAUUUUGGCACCCCUUUUGCUCCUAUAUAGCCAUUUCCCCAAUUCACAUUCAACUUUGCCAAUCACUCCUGCUUCCUCAAAAGUCUCUCGCAGUGCUGCUUGUACCAUGGAUUCAUCCUCUUCCCAUCCUCCCUUAGGGAACAACAUUCCUUGACCACUUUGUGAACUGAUGACAAGAACUUCUAUAUCUUCAGUAGAAGUUCCAUCAAUGGAAGAUGGUUGAUCAGUUUUCUUAUAUCUGUAAGGAAUACACCCUACAACUAGGCGGCAACCUCUAUCAUAACGCUGAAGAUGGCGACCAGUGCGAGAAACCAAGGAAAUCAUGUUCUCAAAUUGCGCAGGCAACAAUUUUGAAGGGAGUUUAUCAAUGAAAGGGAGAAGAAAGGAAAGGAAAUUUGCAAAGUUUCUCAUAAAGAAAGAGAGCCCUCUCAUGUUUGAUUNUCAUGUUUGAUUGUAUUCCUCCUCAAUGAAAGGAAAAAAAAAAAAUUCUUGGGUGGGUUUG